AAAAUAAAGGUCCUUAAAUCAUAGCGUAUCUCCGACCUUAUUGAUCUGCCAAAGCCAUACCCCGAGCAGGGUCAAUAGGGUAGUUCACUUAUCCUGCCACACACACACACACGCACAGAGACACACAGACACACAGACACACACACACUCACACUCACGCACACAGUCAUUAAUUUUGGGAAGACACUGUCAGUAUCUGUCUACGCAAGCUCUCUGGAACUGCCUGUGCAGUAACUUUGUGCAGCAUCAUGGAGGUCACCCCAUCUGUGCCAGAUAGUGUGGUGUCUUAAUGCACAUCACCUUCUAACCAAUCAGAAUCCAGUAUUGAGACUGACCAUGGACUUGGCGGUGAUGAAACAGACUCUGCUGGCCUGUGAGUGGGUGGAGGAGAACAGACCCCACUUUGCUGGGAAAGUUCACUUACCACGGAUCAUGAGGAUGAACGAGGAUGAUGCCUUGUUGGCCAUCACAAUGCAGGACCUGUUUAUCAACACUAUUUUUUAUGAAAGUGAAAUGGACGAAGAGAAAAUCCGGGCUCCCUUCCUUUUCACCUUCGAGAGAUUAGAGGACAUGGAGUUUUUCAUGCAGGAAAUAUACGAUAAGAAAUAUUCACGUGUCUUGCCUGCACAACCCUCACCGCUAACAAGCUAAUUAGUGGGGUAGAUCUGUGAAAAUAUUGCUUUUACGUGUAGUUUUAGGUUUUGUAAAAUGUUGUGUUUUUUUUAACCCAUUAAAGUUUUGUGGGGAAAAAAUGUGUUCUUGAAACCGAAUAUACUAAAAUUUUAUUUUGUAUCUUAUUAUAUAUAUUUUUUUUUCUAGAGUGAAGACUGAUUUUUAUGUUAGAUGUACAUUUUGUUAAUGAAGGUGAAUAGAAAUAAAAUAAAUUCAGCAACA
Ictalurus punctatus (channel catfish) is the source of this 894-nucleotide long non-coding RNA. RefSeq lists it as uncharacterized. The transcript is spliced from 2 exons. Lineage: Eukaryota; Metazoa; Chordata; Actinopteri; Siluriformes; Ictaluridae. The record is from RefSeq and is a predicted model, not a curated record.